UCACUAUUUCCUUAAAUUCUAAACUCAAACACACGCCCGGCGCCGAUAGCGGCAACCCGACCUGCGACAAAAUUAUCAUUGACCGAACGGUUCGGUCAAAUGUAUUUUAAGGCGAUACUUGGAUACCGCAUUAUGGGUUCCCGUAUUCUUUCCGGCGGCGCGAUCCACAGCGGAACGAAAAAACAGACUAAACAAAUGGUUACACAGAGCCACCUGACGGUCGCGUCCGGCGACGAAGACAGCGC
RNAcentral lists this unclassified non-coding RNA (245 nucleotides) under Hevea brasiliensis (rubber tree). The record is from RNAcentral. Lineage: Eukaryota; Viridiplantae; Streptophyta; Magnoliopsida; Malpighiales; Euphorbiaceae.